GCUGGCGGCAGCCCUUACACAUGCAAGUCGAGCGAGAAAGUUUCUUCGGAAACGAGUAAAGCGGCGGACGGGUGAGUAACGCGUAGGAAUCUACCAUUCAGUGGGGGAUAGCUCGGGGAAACCCGAAUUAAUACCGCAUAUACCCUAAGGGGGAAAGAGGGCCUAUCCUUGGAAGCUCUUGCUGUUUGAUGAGCCUGCGUGAGAUUAGUUUGUUGGUGAGGUAAUGGCUCACCAAGGCUACGAUCUCUAGCUGGUCUGAGAGGACGAUCAGCCACACUGGGACUGAGACACGGCCCAGACUCCUACGGGAGGCAGCAGUGGGGAAUAUUGGACAAUGGGGGCAACCCUGAUCCAGGCAUGCCGCGUGUGUGAAGAAGGCCUUCGGGUUGUAAAGCACUUUAGGUAAGGAAGAAAAGUCAUUGGUUAAUACCCAAUGACCAUGACAUUACUUACAGAAUAAGGACCGGCUAACUCCGUGCCAGCAGCCGCGGUAAUACGGAGGGUCCAAGCGUUAAUCGGAAUUACUGGGCGUAAAGCGCGCGUAGGCGGUUUGACAAGUUGGGUGUGAAAUCCCCGGGCUUAACCUGGGAACUGCAUUCAAAACUUUUAAACUGGAGUACGGGAGAGGAGAGUAGAAUUCAUGGUGUAGCGGUGAAAUGCGUAGAUAUCAUGAGGAAUACCAAUGGCGAAGGCAACUCUCUGGACCGUAACUGACGCUGAGGUGCGAAAGCGUGGGUAGCAAACAGGAUUAGAUACCCUGGUAGUCCACGCCGUAAACGAUGACAACUAGCCGUUGGACUUUCGGGUUCAGUGGCACAGCUAACGCAUUAAGUUGUCCGCCUGGGGAG
RNAcentral lists this ribosomal RNA (848 nucleotides) under uncultured Gammaproteobacteria bacterium. RNAcentral's name for it is "bacterial SSU rRNA". It matches the Rfam family "Bacterial small subunit ribosomal RNA", at positions 35 to 880 of the family's 1533-position model. Lineage: Bacteria; Pseudomonadati; Pseudomonadota; Gammaproteobacteria. The record is from RNAcentral.